Molecule: ribosomal RNA, 253 nt
Filed under: uncultured bacterium
Lineage: Bacteria
Description: partial 16S ribosomal RNA
Rfam family: Bacterial small subunit ribosomal RNA
Source: RNAcentral
UACGUAGGGUGCGAGCGUUGUCCGGAAUUACUGGGCGUAAAGAGCUCGUAGGUGGUUUGUCGCGUUGUUCGUGAAAACUCACAGCUUAACUGUGGGCGUGCGGGCGAUACGGGCAGACUGGAGUACUGCAGGGGAGACUGGAAUUCCUGGUGUAGCGGUGGAAUGCGCAGAUAUCAGGAGGAACACCGGUGGCGAAGGCGGGUCUCUGGGCAAUAACUGACGCUGAGGAGCGAAAGCCAGGGGAGCAAACGGG